This 395-nucleotide ribosomal RNA is filed under the name uncultured bacterium. RNAcentral describes it as "partial 16S ribosomal RNA". It matches the Rfam family "Bacterial small subunit ribosomal RNA", at positions 523 to 918 of the family's 1533-position model. The record is from RNAcentral.
AUACGUAGGGUGCAAGCGUUAAUCGGAAUUACUGGGCGUAAAGCGUGCGCAGGCGGUUUUGUAAGACAGUGGUGAAAUCCCCGGGCUCCACCUGGGAACUGCCAUUGUGACUGCAAGGCUGGAGUGCGGCAGAGGGGGAUGGAAUUCCGCGUGUAGUAGUGAAAUGCGUAGAUAUGCGGAGGAACACCGAUGGCGAAGGCAAUCCCCUGGGCCUGCACUGACGCUCAUGCACGAAAGCGUGGGGAGCAAACAGGAUUAGAUACCCUGGUAGUCCACGCCCUAAACGAUGUCAACUGGUUGUUGGGGAUUUAUUUUCUCAGUAACGAAGCUAACGCGUGAAGUUGACCGCCUGGGGAGUACGGCCGCAAGGUUAAAACUCAAAUGAAUUGACGGGG